AGAGUUUGAUCAUGGCUCAGGAUGAACGCUAGCUACAGGCUUAACACAUGCAAGUCGAGGGGAAACGACAUCGAAAGCUUGCUUUUGAUGGGCGUCGACCGGCGCACGGGUGAGUAACGCGUAUCCAACCUGCCCACCACUUGGGGAUAACCUUGCGAAAGUAAGACUAAUACCCAAUGACGUCUCUAGAAGACAUCUGAAAGAGAUUAAAGAUUUAUCGGUGAUGGAUGGGGAUGCGUCUGAUUAGCUUGUUGGCGGGGUAACGGCCACCAAAGCAACGAUCAGUAGGGGUUCUGAGAGGAAGGUCCCCCACAUUGGAACUGACGACACGGUCCAAACUCCGUACGGGAGGCA
This 354-nucleotide ribosomal RNA is filed under the name uncultured bacterium. RNAcentral's name for it is "bacterial SSU rRNA". It matches the Rfam family "Bacterial small subunit ribosomal RNA", at positions 8 to 350 of the family's 1533-position model. The record is from RNAcentral.